This 693-nucleotide ribosomal RNA is filed under the name Triticum aestivum (bread wheat). RNAcentral describes it as "partial small subunit ribosomal RNA". Lineage: Eukaryota; Viridiplantae; Streptophyta; Magnoliopsida; Poales; Poaceae. The record is from RNAcentral.
AUGGUGCUCCUCCGCCAUGGCGUCACCUUCCUCAUUCAGCAUCCCCCACCACCCAACGCCGACGCCCACUAUCUUGAGCUCGACGCACAUGUUGUUCUCUGGAUGUACUCCACCCUCGCAGACUCGAUCGUUGAUCAUGUGAUCGGCGCUACCACCAUCCACGCCCUCUGGACUCGGAUCCAACAUUACUUCCUCGCAGAUCGCGCCGCUUGCUACAUGAUCCUCAAUCGCCAAUAUCGCAAUCUUAAACAGGGAGAUCUCUGUGUGGAUGAGUAUGUGUGUCGCAUGAAGUUGCUCACUGAUGGCCUCGCCGACAUAGAUCAUGCGGUGACCGAGAUCGACCUCACCACUCUGUUUCUCCAUGGCCUCGACCAACGCCUCGACACCAUCUGGGUCGUGCUGGGCGACACCGUUCCCCUCCCACCCUUCGAGGUUGUCUUCUAACAAGUCAAGCUUGCCGAGGAGAACCUCACGCAACGUUCCUCCGAGUCCAGCGCCACCGUUAUGGUGGUGCACGGGACCGAUGCUCUUCCCAGUGGCUCCAGCGGUGCUUCUGGCUCCUCUCCCACGGGCGGCUCUGCUCCACGCCCGGGUGAUCGGGUGGAUCGCUCUCAGGAACGUGUCCCUGACCGGGGCCACGGACAGCAACAGGGCCGCCGCCAAGCUCCCGCUAGGGUGACGGGGCCGCAGUGA